AGUGAACGCUGGCGGUAGGCCUAACACAUGCAAGUCGAACGGCAGCACAGUAAGAGCUUGCUCUUACGGGUGGCGAGUGGCGGACGGGUGAGGAAUACAUCGGAAUCUACUUUUUCGUGGGGGAUAACGUAGGGAAACUUACGCUAAUACCGCAUACGACCUACGGGAGAAAGCAGGGGAUCUUCGGACCUUGCGCGAUUGAAUGAGCCGAUGUCGGAUUAGCUAGUUGGCGGGGUAAAGGCCCACCAAGGCGACGAUCCGUAGCUGGUCUGAGAGGGUGAUCAGCCACACUGGAACUGAGACACGGUCCAGACUCCUACGGGAGGCAGCAGUGGGGAAUAUUGGACAAUGGGCGCAAGCCUGAUCCAGCCAUACCGCGUGGGUGAAGAAGGCCUUCGGGUUGUAAAGCCCUUUUGUUGGGAAAGAAAAGCAGCAGGUUAAUACCCCGCUGUUCUGACGGUACCCAAAGAAUAAGCACCGGCUAACUUCGUG
RNAcentral lists this ribosomal RNA (492 nucleotides) under uncultured bacterium. RNAcentral's name for it is "partial 16S ribosomal RNA". It matches the Rfam family "Bacterial small subunit ribosomal RNA", at positions 29 to 507 of the family's 1533-position model. The record is from RNAcentral.